GAAUAUUGGUAGCAUCUUAUAAGUAGUUUGGGUUAAAUGAGUCCCACCUAAAAUGAGUCUACUCUGGGCAAGAAGUACCCAUUCUAUUCCCAGCUUGCUCAGUAGCUGGUGAUUGGAGGACACUUUGCAACAAUG
Molecule: small nucleolar RNA, 135 nt
Organism: Panthera pardus (leopard)
Lineage: Eukaryota; Metazoa; Chordata; Mammalia; Carnivora; Felidae
Source: Ensembl